RNAcentral lists this transfer RNA (74 nucleotides) under Nitella hyalina. RNAcentral's name for it is "tRNA-Arg". It matches the Rfam family "tRNA". Rfam says of the family: Transfer RNA (tRNA) molecules are approximately 80 nucleotides in length. Their secondary structure includes four short double-helical elements and three loops (D, anti-codon, and T loops). The record is from RNAcentral. Lineage: Eukaryota; Viridiplantae; Streptophyta; Charophyceae; Charales; Characeae.
AGGCUGGUAGCUCAGUGGAUUAGAGUGUAUAGUUCCGAACUAUGAAGUCAAGGGUUCAAGUCCCUUUCUGCCUA